This 460-nucleotide small RNA is filed under the name Pan troglodytes (chimpanzee). Its description in RNAcentral is "processed transcript". The record is from RNAcentral. Lineage: Eukaryota; Metazoa; Chordata; Mammalia; Primates; Hominidae.
CGCAAUCAUAAGCAGGAGAAACACCUGGUCUUCUUCAGCACCUGUGCCUGUGUGGAAUACUAUGGGAAGGCUCUGGAAGUGCUGGUGAAGGGCGUGAAGAUUAUGUGCAUUCAUGGAAAGAUGAAAUAUAAACGCAAUAAGAUCUUCAUGGAGUUCCGCAAAUUGCAAAGUGGGAUUUUAGUGUGCACUGAUGUGAUGGCCCGGGGAAUUGAUAUUCCUGAAGUCAACUGGGUUUUGCAGUAUGACCCUCCCAGCAAUGCAAGAUCUUGAUUUUGCCAGCCUUGCUCAAGGUUUUGCCCUGCUGAGGAUGCCCAAGAUGCCAGAAUUGAGAGGAAAGCAGUUUCCAGAUUUUGUGCCCGUGGACGUUAAUACCGACACGAUUCCAUUUAAAGAUAAAAUCAGAGAAAAGCAGAGGCAGAAACUCCUGGAGCAACAAAGAAGAGAGAAAACAGAAAAUGAA